Molecule: ribosomal RNA, 313 nt
Filed under: uncultured bacterium
Lineage: Bacteria
Description: bacterial SSU rRNA
Rfam family: Bacterial small subunit ribosomal RNA
Source: RNAcentral
ACCGUUCGGGCCUCGCGCUAUCAGAUGAGCCUGCGUAGGAUUAGCUUGUUGGUGAGGUAAGGCUCACCAAGGCGACGAUCCUUAGCUGGUCUGAGAGGAUGAUCAGCCACACUGGAACUGAGACACGGUCCAGACUCCUACGGGAGGCAGCAGUGGGGAAUAUUGCGCAAUGGGCGAAAGCCUGACGCAGCCAUGCCGCGUGUGUGAAGAAGGCCCUUGGGUUGUAAAGCACUUUCAAUUGGGAAGAAAGGUUGCGUGUUAAUAGCACGUAGCUGUGACGUUACCUUUAGAAGAAGCACCGGCUAACUCCGUG